UAUCCUGUCUGAAUAUGGGGGGACCAUCCUCCAAGGCUAAAUACUCCUGACUGACCGAUAGUGAACCAGUACCGUGAGGGAAAGGCGAAAAGAACCCCGGCGAGGGGAGUGAAACAGAACCUGAAACCGUGUACGUACAAGCAGUGGGAGCAUGAGUUUACUCAUGUGACUGCGUACCUUUUGUAUAAUGGGUCAGCGACUUAUAUUCUGUAGCAAGGUUAACCGUAUAGGGGAGCCGCAGGGAAACCGAGUCUUAAUUGGGCGUUAAGUUGCAGGGUAUAGACCCGAAACCCGGUGAUCUAGCCAUGGGCAGGUUGAAGGUUGGGUAACACUAACUGGAGGACCGAACCGACUAAUGUUGAAAAAUUAGCGGAUGACCUGUGGCUGGGGGUGAAAGGCCAAUCAAACCGGGAGAUAGCUGGUUCUCCCCGAAAGCUAUUUAGGUAGCGCCUCGUGAACUCAUCUCCGGGGGUAGAGCACUGUUUCGGCCAGGGGGCCAUCCCGGCUUACCAACCCGAUGCAAACUGCGAAUACCGGAGAAUGUUAUCACGGGAGACACACGGCGGGUGCUAACGUCCGUCGUGAAGAGGGAAACAACCCAGACCGCCAGCUAAGGUCCCAAAGUCAUGGUUAAGUGGGAAACGAUGUGGGAAGGCCCAGACAGCCAGGAUGUUGGCUUAGAAGCAGCCAUCAUUUAAAGAAAGCGUAAUAGCUCACUGGUCGAGUCGGCCUGCGCGGAAGAUGUAACGGGGCUAAACCAUGCACCGAAGCUGCGGCAGCGACACUGUGUGUUGUUGGGUAGGGGAGCGUUCUGUAAGCCUGCGAAGGUGUGCUGUGAGGCAUGCUGGAGGUAUCAGAAGUGCGAAUGCUGACAUAAGUAACGAUAAUGCGGGUGAAAAACCCGCACGCCGGAAGACCAAGGGUUCCUGUCCAACGUUAAUCGGGGCAGGGUGAGUCGACCCCUAAGGCGAGGCCGAAAGGCGUAGUCGAUGGGAAACAGGUUAAUAUUCCUGUACCUGGUGUUACUGCGAAGGGGGGACGGAGAAGGCUAUGUUGGCCGGGCGACGGUUGUCCCGGUUUAAGCGUGUAGGCUGGUUUUCCAGGCAAAUCCGGAAAAUCAAGGCUGAGGCGUGAUGACGAGGCACUACGGUGCUGAAGCAACAAAUGCCCAGCUUCCAGGAAAAGCCUCUAAGCCUCAGGUAACAUCAGAUCGUACCCGAAACCGACACAGGUGGUCAGGUAGAGAAUACCAAGGCGCUUGAGAGAACCCGGGUGAAGGAACUAGGCAAAAUGGUGCCGUAACUUCGGGAGAAGGCACGCUGACACGUAGGUGAAGCGGUUUUACCCGUGGAGCUGAAGUCAGUCGAAGAUACCAGCUGGCUGCAACUGUUUAUUAAAAACACAGCACUGUGCAAACACGAAAGUGGACGUAUACGGUGUGACGCCUGCCCGGUGCCGGAAGGUUAAUUGAUGGGGUCAGCGCAAGCGAAGCUCCUGAUCGAAGCCCCGGUAAACGGCGGCCGUAACUAUAACGGUCCUAAGGUAGCGAAAUUCCUUGUCGGGUAAGUUCCGACCUGCACGAAUGGCGUAAUGAUGGCCAGGCUGUCUCCACCCGGGACUCAGUGAAAUUGAACUCGCUGUGAAGAUGCAGUGUACCCGCGGCAAGACGGAAAGACCCCGUGAACCUUUACUAUAGCUUGACACUGAACACUGGUCCUUGAUGUGCAGGAUAGGUGGGAGGCUUUGA
This 1747-nucleotide ribosomal RNA is filed under the name Salmonella enterica subsp. arizonae. Its description in RNAcentral is "partial 23S ribosomal RNA". It matches the Rfam family "Bacterial large subunit ribosomal RNA", at positions 430 to 2160 of the family's 2925-position model. The record is from RNAcentral. Lineage: Bacteria; Pseudomonadati; Pseudomonadota; Gammaproteobacteria; Enterobacterales; Enterobacteriaceae.